This 704-nucleotide ribosomal RNA is filed under the name uncultured bacterium. Its description in RNAcentral is "bacterial SSU rRNA". It matches the Rfam family "Bacterial small subunit ribosomal RNA", at positions 43 to 726 of the family's 1533-position model. The record is from RNAcentral.
CAGGCCUAACACAUGCAAGUCGAACGCGAAAGGGGCUUCGGCCCUGAGUAGAGUGGCGAACGGGUGAGUAACACGUGGGUGAUCUACCUUCGAGUGGGGGAUAACCUUCCGAAAGGAGGGCUAAUACCGCAUGACGUUCCGGGUUUGAAGACCGGGAAACCAAAGUCGGGGACCGCAAGGCCCGACGCUUGGAGAGGAGCCCGCGCCUGAUUAGCUAGUUGGUGGGGUAACGGCUCACCAAGGCGACGAUCAGUAGCCGGCCUGAGAGGGCGGACGGCCACACUGGGACUGAGACACGGCCCAGACUCCUACGGGAGGCAGCAGUGGGGAAUUGUUCGCAAUGGGCGCAAGCCUGACGACGCAACGCCGCGUGGAGGAUGAAGGUCUUCGGAUUGUAAACUCCUGUUGACCGGGAAGAAUGGGCCUCGGGAUAAUACUCCGGGGCAAUGACGGUACCGGUUGAGGAAGCCACGGCUAACUCUGUGCCAGCAGCCGCGGUAAUACAGAGGUGGCAAGCGUUGUUCGGAAUUACUGGGCGUAAAGGGCGCGUAGGCGGCCCUCUUAGUCGGACGUGAAAUCCCCAGGCUUAACUUGGGAACUGCGUCCGAUACUGGAGGGCUCGAGUGCGGGAGAGGGAUGUGGAAUUCCAGGUGUAGCGGUGAAAUGCGUAGAUAUCUGGAGGAACACCGGUGGCGAAGGCGGCA